GACGAACGCUGGCGGCGUGCCUAAUACAUGCAAGUCGAACGAAGCUGUUUUAACUGGUGCUUGCACCGACUUAAACAACUGAGUGGCGAACGGGUGAGUAACACGUGGGUAACCUGCCCCAAAGCGGGGGAUAACAUUUGGAAACAGAUGCUAAUACCGCAUAAUCACAGAAACCACAUGGUUUCUGUGUCAAAGAUGGUUUCGGCUAUCACUUUGGGAUGGACCCGCGGCGUAUUAGCUAGUUGGUAAGGUAAUGGCUUACCAAGGCAAUGGUACGUAGCCGAACUGAGAGGUUGAUCGGCCACAUUGGGACUGAGACACGUCCCAAACUCCUACGGGAGGCAGCAGUAGGGAAUCUUCCACAAUGGACGAAAGUCUGACGGAGCAACGCCGCGUGAGUGAAGAAGGUUUUCGGAUCGUAAAACUCUGUUGUCAGAGAAGAACGUGUGCGAGAGUAACUGUUCGUGCAGUGACGGUAUCUGGCCAGAAAGCCACGGCUAACUACGUGCCAGCCGCCGCCGUAA
This 524-nucleotide ribosomal RNA is filed under the name uncultured bacterium. RNAcentral describes it as "partial 16S ribosomal RNA". It matches the Rfam family "Bacterial small subunit ribosomal RNA", at positions 28 to 523 of the family's 1533-position model. The record is from RNAcentral.